GAUAUUUUUGAGAGAGAUAGAGAGAGAAAGUGGGAGAAAGAGGAAGAAAGGGUUAGAGAGAAGAGGAACUUGAUGAUUCAAAGAUUGGAAGAGAUCUAGGAGCUAAAUUGAAGCUUGAGCUGGGGAAUUAAUCUAACUAAGGUUGAAACGGAAGCAUACAGAUCAAUCAACUUUGAUGUUUAUCGAAGAACAAUGUAAUGCGAAUCAUAUUUGCUUUAGCUUU
This is a long non-coding RNA of Medicago truncatula (barrel medic), 223 nucleotides long. RefSeq lists it as uncharacterized. The transcript is spliced from 2 exons. Lineage: Eukaryota; Viridiplantae; Streptophyta; Magnoliopsida; Fabales; Fabaceae. The record is from RefSeq and is a predicted model, not a curated record.